This 253-nucleotide ribosomal RNA is filed under the name uncultured bacterium. RNAcentral's name for it is "partial 16S ribosomal RNA". It matches the Rfam family "Bacterial small subunit ribosomal RNA", at positions 524 to 776 of the family's 1533-position model. The record is from RNAcentral.
UACGGAGGGUGCAAGCGUUGCUCGGAAUUAUUGGGCGUAAAGGGUAGGUAGGUGGUCUCAUUUGUCUGGGGUGAAAGCCUUGGGCUUAACUCAAGAAGUGCCCCAGAAACGGUGAGACUGGAGUCCUGGAGAGGGUCGUGGAAUUCCCGGUGUAGCGGUGAAAUGCGUAGAGAUCGGGAGGAACACCAGAGGCGAAGGCGGCGACCUGGACAGGCACUGACACUCAACUACGAAAGCGUGGGGAGCAAACAGG